RNAcentral lists this ribosomal RNA (975 nucleotides) under Coniella vitis. Its description in RNAcentral is "eukaryotic LSU rRNA". It matches the Rfam family "Eukaryotic large subunit ribosomal RNA", at positions 151 to 1149 of the family's 3401-position model. Lineage: Eukaryota; Fungi; Ascomycota; Sordariomycetes; Diaporthales; Schizoparmaceae. The record is from RNAcentral.
UGCAGAGGAUGUUUCUGGCGCGGUGCCUUCCGAGUUCCCUGGAACGGGACGCCAUAGAGGGUGAGAGCCCCGUAUGGUUGGAUACCAAGCCUGUGUGAAACUCCUUCGACGAGUCGAGUAGUUUGGGAAUGCUGCUCAAAAUGGGAGGUAAAUCUCUUCUAAAGCUAAAUAUUGGCCAGAGACCGAUAGCGCACAAGUAGAGUGAUCGAAAGAUGAAAAGCACCUUGAAAAGGGGGUUAAACAGUACGUGAAAUUGUUGAAAGGGAAGCGCUCAUGACCAGACUUGUGCUGGGCAGCUCAUCCGGGGUUCUCCCCGGUGCAUUCUGCCCAGUUCAGGCCAGCAUCGAUUUUUGCUGGGGGAUAAGAACGGUAGGAACGUGGCCCUCCUUCGGGAGGGUGUUAUAGCCUACCGUACGAUACCCUAGCGGAGAUCGAGGUUCGCGCAUCUGCAAGGAUGCUGGCGUAAUGGUCAUCAGCGACCCGUCUUGAAACACGGACCAAGGAGUCGUCCAUUAGAGCGAGCGUUUGGGUGUAAAACCCGCACGCGUAAUGAAAGUGAAAUUAGGUGAGAGCUUCGGCGCAUCAUCGACCGAUCCUGAUGUUCUCGGAUGGAUUUGAGUAAGAGUUUUAACGGACGGACCCGAAAGACAGUGAACUAUGCUUGUAUAGGGUGAAGCCAGAGGAAACUCUGGUGGAGGCUCGCAGCGGUUCUGACGUGCAAAUCGAUCGUCAAAUAUGAGCAUGGGGGCGAAAGACUAAUCGAACUGUCUAGUAGCUGGUUACCGCCGAAGUUUCCCUCAGGAUAGCAGUGUUGACCUUCAGUUUUAUGAGGUAAAGCGAAUGAUUAGGGACUCGGGGGCGCUUUUUAGCCUUCAUCCAUUCUCAAACUUUAAAUAUGUAAGAAGCCCUUGUUACUUAGUUGAACGUGGGCAUUCGAAUGUAUCAACACUAGUGGGCCAUUUUUGGUAAGCAGAA